GGGGAGUAGGCAACUGUUGGUUGGUUGCGGCUGGCUGUAAACCAGUUCUGAGAGGCUCGGGGGUUCGAUUCCCUCACUUCCCAC
Molecule: transfer RNA, 84 nt
Filed under: Gordonia phage GMA2
Lineage: Duplodnaviria; Heunggongvirae; Uroviricota; Caudoviricetes
Description: tRNA-Tyr
Rfam family: tRNA
About the family: Transfer RNA (tRNA) molecules are approximately 80 nucleotides in length. Their secondary structure includes four short double-helical elements and three loops (D, anti-codon, and T loops). Further hydrogen bonds mediate the characteristic L-shaped molecular structure. tRNAs have two regions of fundamental functional importance: the anti-codon, which is responsible for specific mRNA codon recognition, and the 3' end, to which the tRNAs corresponding amino acid is attached (by aminoacyl-tRNA synthetases). tRNAs cope with the degeneracy of the genetic code in two manners: having more than one tRNA (with a specific anti-codon) for a particular amino acid; and 'wobble' base-pairing, i.e. permitting non-standard base-pairing at the 3rd anti-codon position.
Source: RNAcentral